RNAcentral lists this ribosomal RNA (422 nucleotides) under uncultured bacterium. RNAcentral describes it as "bacterial SSU rRNA". It matches the Rfam family "Bacterial small subunit ribosomal RNA", at positions 40 to 507 of the family's 1533-position model. The record is from RNAcentral.
CGGCAUGCCUAACACAUGCAAGUCGAACGAGACCUUCGGGUCUAGUGGCGCACGGGUGCGUAACACGUGGAAUUUGCCUCGGGGUAUGGAAUAACUCAGGGAAACUUGAGCUAAUACCAUAUAAUGUCUUCGGACCAAAGAUUUAUCGCCCUGAGAUAAGCCCGCGUAGGAUUAGCUAGUUGGUGGGGUAAAGGCUCACCAAGGCGACGAUCCUUAGCUGGUCUGAGAGGACGACCAGCCACACUGGAACUGAGACGCGGGCCCAGACUCCUACGGGAGGCAGCAGUGGGGAAUUUUGGACAAUGGGGCGAAAGCCUGAUCCAGCAAUGCCGCGUGAGUGAUGAAGGCCUUAGGGUUGUAAAGCUCUUUUACCCGAGAUGAUAAUGACAGUAUCGGGAGAAUAAGCUCCGGCUAACUACGUG